GCACGGGUGGCCGAGUGGUCUAAGGCGCCAGACUCAAGUGCAUAACUUCCUGCGAGUAAGCAGGAUGAGCGUUCUGGUAUGGUAAUCCAUGCGUGGGUUCGAAUCCCAUCCCGUGCA
This 117-nucleotide transfer RNA is filed under the name Anisakis simplex (herring worm). It matches the Rfam family "tRNA". Rfam says of the family: Transfer RNA (tRNA) molecules are approximately 80 nucleotides in length. Their secondary structure includes four short double-helical elements and three loops (D, anti-codon, and T loops). The record is from Rfam by way of RNAcentral. Lineage: Eukaryota; Metazoa; Nematoda; Chromadorea; Rhabditida; Anisakidae.